Molecule: long non-coding RNA, 2305 nt
Organism: Oreochromis aureus
Lineage: Eukaryota; Metazoa; Chordata; Actinopteri; Cichliformes; Cichlidae
Source: Ensembl
GGGGGGGGGGGCUGGGGCUGUCAGAGUGCAGGGCCGGUUCAGCGGAGUGCUUUGAGAGGGAGGAGUGUUGUGUGGAGUCAGCGGUGGAGCAAUAAGAUUGUUUUCUUUUGGCCUGGAAAAGAAUGUUUGGGUCACUUUCAAAGGAUUAUCCUGCAGGGUCAUGUGGUUUAAUGCACGCUUUAAUCUCGCUUCAUUUCACCUUGUUGGAAGAAAAGUGGAUGAAGGCGUCAGUUUGAGCAAAGCCUGAUCCGUGCAGUCGGUGUCCCCAGUUUGUUUGCACACGGACUCUCAUGACUGACAGCAGAGUGGACUUUCACAUAGUUCACAGACGAUUACAAAAUCACAUAAUGGUGACACGAUGAAGAAAGAGGGGAAAAAAUUAAAUAUGAGGCCUUUUUUAUUUUGAUUUUGAUCUCACAGAGUCCAGAGGAAUGAUCCUUAAUCAGCCAGCCAAGCAAAAAAUAAAACAACAACAACAAACAAAGAUGAAGUGGAAGCAAAAAAUUAUAAUGAUAAAGUCCAAAAACAGGCUGGACAUGAAAACAGCCAACGCCAACCAGGAAACCACAAGAACACCAAGAACAGGAAGACCUCACACAAAGAAAAAGGAAAGAAGGAAACCUGCAGCGAGCAGCAACGCGACACAGCGUGAGGGGAGCAGGCGGGAAAUCAGCCGAUGCUGAGGGACAGCGGUGAGGCUCAUAUACUGUCAGUACGAACCACGGCAGUGAGAAACAGGUUCUAAUAGCAUUUGAUGUAAAAGGGCAAAGGUCAGAGGUCAAAGUCUGAUCAGGAUCCACUGAAAGCUUUUCCACCUAUCGUGUUUACAGACACUCAAACGCUACAAAAACCAUCACGUCCUUGGCUGAGGUGAGUGGGAAUCAAUGAAGAAACCCAAAAACCAUCGAGAUUCACUGCUUAAAGGUGCAGUAGGCACCAAGUUUAAGUGACUUCCAUCAGACAGGCACUGGGACCAGGACCGGGACCAGGACCGGGACCAGGACCUUUAAACAGCUUUGUAAAAAGAGAGUGUCUGGGGAUUUUGCAGCUGGAGUCGGUGUUUUUCCUGUGUCUGCCCUCGUGGGUGGAGUCCCUGGUGUCUCACCUGAGUUCCAUCCACGGUUAAUCAGCAGAAGGUUCUUGAGGCCAGCGCUGUCCUCCACUCGCCACCAGUUUGUCAGCUACGUUCUGUUAGUGGUCAAUCUACAGACGCAUCCACUGCUGAAGCUUCUAUCGGACGCUGGUCAUACCUGGAAAGUUCAUCUGUAACCUUGGAAAAACAACUACUCACCACACUUACCUGCCUGGCCUCCUGCUCAUCGUUCUCCUCCUGGACUCCCUUGGAGCUGGAUCGGAUCUCUUGCUACUCCCACUGCUCUCACCUUGCCCGGACACUCGAGCCUGCAUCCGAGUCCUGAUUGGAUAAGGCAUAGACAGGAAGGGAAAAGUGAUGACUAUUAGUACAAAUGGAAGAAGAUGUGACCUUUAUCUGAAUGAUCCUGAGGUGGAUCCCCGACACGCUACUCGCACGCUACAGUUCAGGCUCAGCAGGCUGCAUUAUCACAGGAAUGCUACCUGCACACCUGUGUCACCUGCUGUUCACGUGAUUGGACCUUCGGAUAAGAGUGUGCUUUACAUGCUGAUGUGCAAACUGUGAAUGCAGCUCUUCCAGGAAUGAAGCGCAGCAGCGCUGCAUGCCUUUCAAACACACAACCAGAUGGUGCAGUCUGCUCUUUUGCACCAGCGCGUCUCACAAACACCAGUGAAACAUCACAGUUUGAUCAGGUGUGAACAGCAGCCAGUUGUUCAGCUGGUGCUGAACUUGUUCUCUGGGUUAAAAACAUCACAGCUGCUGCUGCCGGAUCUCUGAGCACCUCAAUGCUCAAACCUGUAACUCCAUCUCAUUCGCACGGAGUGAGCUCUGGGGCUAUGAGGAACACACUGAAGUGCCAAAACCUGCAGUCCCUCUAACGUCCAGCAGUGACUCCCCUUUCAUCAGAACUCUACAGGGCGGGGGGUUUAGAUUCACCAGUGUGGGUCAGCUGAAGGGAAAUGGCAGUUUUUGUGGAACUUGAGACGAUGAAAGUGUAUUCACGCCAUGUCUGUGCUACCUCUGUCAGCGGUGACAACGAAAUGAGAAGAACCGAGCCGGGGCCUUUCAGUGUAAGUUUUGCAUGUUCUCCCUGCGCCUGCAGGUUUCCCUCCACAGUCUAAAGACUCACAGGUCAGUUUGAUUCUACGCUGGCCAUGUGACGUGCUGUAUGAGUGUGCGGUCAGAGCACCCCAUGUAGUUCAAAGUGCUCCC